Molecule: transfer RNA, 66 nt
Filed under: Libellula angelina
Lineage: Eukaryota; Metazoa; Arthropoda; Insecta; Odonata; Libellulidae
Description: tRNA-Leu
Source: RNAcentral
AAAUUUUAUCUGUGCAAUUCAGAUUAAUUUGAUAAUUAUUAUCUUACUUAUUUAAUUUAUUUAUAU